This 2068-nucleotide long non-coding RNA is filed under the name Homo sapiens (human). Its description in RNAcentral is "non-protein coding STAU2-AS1:3". Lineage: Eukaryota; Metazoa; Chordata; Mammalia; Primates; Hominidae. The record is from RNAcentral.
ACAUAAUUAUAUUCCUAUUGUCAUGUUGGGUCGAGCAGUUAGACCAUGUAGUGUUUUCUCAUUGCACAAUGUUUGCAAAUCAAUAAGGAGAAAGCCUGAACAAUGCGAUGACGUUGGCCAGGAACCCGGCCCGAGUCACCCAGGAGGCGGCUCUGCAGUUUCUCAGGAGGACACAUUUGGACCUGACCUUCACCACUGGUCAUGUGAGAAAGCCUCUAUACCUGGUUCCUCAACGUCUCCGUUUAGAAGACUGCAUCAGCAAAACCAUCCUACCAUGGGAAUUAACUGAUGGAUGUGUCUGGACUUCCCAGGGGGUUCUCCAUGGACAGUAUUGUGCUGUUAAAGACGAGGAGACGGAGACCUAGAGGAAGUCAUUUGUACAAGGCCAUAUGGCUUGCUCCUGAUAGAUCUGGAAUUUGGACUCAGGCAGCCUGGUUCUGGAGCUGAAUUCUGAACUACCUAUAUCAUCCCACCUCAGUCCAGUGAGAGAACGUGUCACCUGAGUGCUCAAGAUACAUCAAGAGCCCGACCAUGUCCUGGAGCCUCUUAAGAGCGAAGCUCAGGGUGCAGGACCUGAGAGGGUGUUAAUCAGCCGCUUCCAUUUUUUUCUUAAUAUGGGAAGACCAGAUUUUGCUUGGCUUCUGGAAACCGCUGCCAUCUUGCUUUUCCUCCUACUUCAGCUCUUGGUCUCCUGUGCAGCUGGCUUUUCCUUCUUCCUGACUUUUCAAGCCCAUCCUUGGACCUCUUAUCUUCUCCAUCAAAAUUCUCUCCCUGGAUGAUUUCACUGAGGCCGAUGGCUUAAAUCCCUUAGAAAUACUGAUAGCUCCAAAUCCCUAUCUUUAGCCUGGCCUCCUGCCCUAGAAUUCACUUGUCUAAGUGCCUAGUGGAUUUCUCCACUUAGAUGUCUCAUAAGCAUUUCAAACCUGCCCAAAACGAAACUUGAUUACCAUCCCCAAACCACUCUUCCCUAAGAAAAUGGUGUCCCCGUUCCACCAGUUGCUCAGGCAAAAACCCUAGCAAUCAGCCUCACUUGCUUUCAUUCUCUCUCAUCUCCCACAUCAAACCCAUUAGCAAAUUCUGUUGGUUCUUUUUUGAAAUGUACUCGGAGGCUACUUCUCACCACAUGCUCUGCUAUGGUUCUAGCCCAAGCCACUGUCAGUCUCUCCCAGAGACACAAGCUGUACCUUCCUAACUCGCACCCCUGUGUGCAUCCCUGUGUGCAUCCCUGCUCACCCAAAGCCAACCCUUUGCAUAUAACCAGAGUGAUUUUUUUGAAAUGUAAAUAAGAACCGGUCACCACCCUAUUCAAAUCCUCCAGGGGCUUCUCAUUUCUCUUAGAACAAAACCCAGACUCCUGACUACAGCCCCAAAGCCCUACAUGAUCCUGCCCCAUUUACAGCUCCAGGCUCAUUACCUACCUCGUGCUCCCAGCCCACGGAUCAUCGCCUACCACAUGCUCCCAGCCCCCGGAUCUCCAGCACAUCAGCCUCUUGGCUCUUCUUAGAACUCCCUGAAUUCACUCCUGUCUCAAGGACUUUCCUGUGCUUUUCCUUAGACAGGAGACACCCCUCCCAGUUCACAUGGCUCACUCGCUUCAUCCAGGUCUCUUCUCCAGUGUCCCCUCCUUGUGACCCCUGGAUCUAAAGGAGUUGAACCACCCCACUCCUACCCUUAUAUUCUCAUAGCUCCUCACGCUGCCUCACUUUUAGCAAGAUUUCAUUAAAAUUUUAUUGCUGUCUAAAAUUCUAUUAUAUAUUUAACCAUUUACUUGUUUAGUAUCUGUGUCUUCCAUUAGCAAGUAAGUUCUGGCCAGGCGUGGUGGCUCACACCUGUAAUCCCAGCACUUUGGGAGGCUGAGGCAGGCAGAUCACCUGAGGUCAGGAGUUUGAGACCAGCCUGGUCAACGUGGUGAAACCCUGUCUCUACUAAAAAUACAAAAAUUUGCCGGGUGUGGUGGCAUGCACCUGUAAUCUCAGCUACUCGGGAGGCUGAGGCAGGAGAAUCGCUUGAACCUGGGAGGUGGAGGCUGCAGUGAGCCAAAAGAAAGAAAGAAAGUAAGUUCCAUGAA